UACGUAGGUGGCAAGCGUUGUCCGGAAAUAUUGGGCGUAAAGCGCGAGCAGGCGGUUUACUUAAGUCUGAUGUGAAAGCCCACGGCUCAACCGUGGAGGGUCAUUGGAAACUGGGAGACUUGAGUACAGAAGCGGAGAGUGGAAUUCCAAGUGUAGCGGUGAAAUGCGUAGAUAUGUGGAGGAACACCAGUGGCUAAGGCGACUCUCUGGUCUGUAACUGACGCUGAGGCUCGAAAGCGUGGGGAGCAAACAGG
This 254-nucleotide unclassified non-coding RNA is filed under the name uncultured Bacillaceae bacterium. Its description in RNAcentral is "contains 16S-23S intergenic spacer region". It matches the Rfam family "Bacterial small subunit ribosomal RNA", at positions 524 to 776 of the family's 1533-position model. Lineage: Bacteria; Bacillati; Bacillota; Bacilli; Caryophanales; Bacillaceae. The record is from RNAcentral.